GACGAACGCUGGCGGCGUGCCUAAUACAUGCAAGUAGAACGCACAGUUUAUACCGUAGCUUGCUACACCAUAAACUGUGAGUUGCGAACGGGUGAGUAACGCGUAGGUAACCUGCCUGGUAGCGGGGGAUAACUAUUGGAAACGAUAGCUAAUACCGCAUAAUAUUAAUUAUUGCAUGAUAAUUGAUUGAAAGAUGCAAUUGCAUCACUACCAGAUGGACCUGCGUUGUAUUAGCUAGUAGGUGAGGUAACGGCUCACCUAGGCGACGAUACAUAGCCGACCUGAGAGGGUGAUCGGCCACACUGGGACUGAGACACGGCCCAGACUCCUACGGGAGGCAGCAGUAGGGAAUCUUCGGCAAUGGACGAAAGUCUGACCGAGCAACGCCGCGUGAGUGAAGAAGGGUGUCGGAUCGUAAAGCUCUGUUGUAAGAGAAGAACGGGUGUGAGAGUGGAAAGUUCACACUGUGACGGUAUCUUACCAGAAAGGGACGGCUAACUACGUG
This 505-nucleotide ribosomal RNA is filed under the name uncultured bacterium. RNAcentral describes it as "partial 16S ribosomal RNA". It matches the Rfam family "Bacterial small subunit ribosomal RNA", at positions 28 to 507 of the family's 1533-position model. The record is from RNAcentral.